CAGGCUGUAGCUCUCAGCUAUUGCUCCAGUACCUGCCUGCACGAGCCCAUGCUCCCCACCAUGAUGAUAAUGGACUAAACCUCUGAAAGGCCUGAUAACUGCAGAAGGAAGACCUGAGUAUCUACAAAGUAGAUACUUAUGGACUUUGUGCUAUGGCAUCAAGAUGACAUCUCAUUAUCUAGCAUGUGAACUAUUGUACUCUGGGCUUGGGCAACUACAUCCUCUAAGGACCCAGUGAAUUCAACAUGUGCUAUUGGGUCAAGAGUAGGUCGGAGAUCCCAAGGCCAGUGAGAGAACGCAAGAUGCGCAAGCAAGCAGUACAGCGCUGGAGUCUGUCGCGGGAUCAGAGAAGCAACACCGGCAUUACACACGCACAGCCCGCGACGUGCGCCCCAUCAGGGCCGGCCCUAGACAAUCCUUCCAUUAAGGCUCCGCCCGCUCCACCGCCCUCUAGGUUCCAUGCUCCUUGCUCCUCAACCACUCAACCCGGUCUCCACGUAGCCGUUCCCCGGCUACGGAUUGCGCAACUCGGGCCGCUAGGCGGAGCCUGGACGUAGGCGGGGCGACG
RNAcentral lists this long non-coding RNA (568 nucleotides) under Cricetulus griseus (Chinese hamster). RNAcentral's name for it is "lncRNA (ENSCGRG00015032798.1)". Lineage: Eukaryota; Metazoa; Chordata; Mammalia; Rodentia; Cricetidae. The record is from RNAcentral.